UCCUACGGGACGCAGCAGUGAGGAAUAUUGGUCAAUGGGCGCGAGCCUGAACCAGCCAAGUCGCGUGAGGGAAGACGGUCCUAUGGAUUGUAAACCUCUUUUGUCGGGGAGCAAAAGACGCCACGUGUGGCGUUCCGAGAGUACCCGAAGAAAAAGCAUCGGCUAACUCCGUGCCAGCAGCCGCGGUAAUACGGAGGAUGCGAGCGUUAUCCGGAUUUAUUGGGUUUAAAGGGUGCGCAGGCGGAAGAUCAAGUCAGCGGUAAAAUUGAGAGGCUCAACCUCUGCGAGCCGUUGAAACUGGUUUU
This 305-nucleotide ribosomal RNA is filed under the name uncultured bacterium. Its description in RNAcentral is "bacterial SSU rRNA". It matches the Rfam family "Bacterial small subunit ribosomal RNA", at positions 337 to 640 of the family's 1533-position model. The record is from RNAcentral.